CAGCUGACUGCAGUGAGGCAGGCAGGAGUCUCUCUCUGGAGCGGAACAGGGAAACAGGGCGAGGUCCCUGGCUGGAUCUGUUGCUCAGCGCUGCCUACGAUGGACAGCUGUUACGCAUGUCUGCUCUGCUCCCAGAGCCCAGCUUUGUUUGCUAAUGCCUGGGAACCCACUGUAUGACCAGAGCCUCGCUGUUGAUGCAGCUCACUCUCCUCUCCAGCUGGGCGCUCAUUCAUCUUUUUAUACGCUGUAUGUGUGGAGGCCAUCAGCUGCUACACAACACAACAGCCACACGAACACUGGGGAGACCGGCUGAGCUGAGCUAAGCUGAGCCAAGAGGAAGCUCUACACAGCCUCUACAAACAGUCUGGGAACAUCAUUGGAUUUCUGAACUGUUACACCCGAAAGAUGACAAGCUCAAACCUAAUUAUGUUUUUUCCAAAAGAGAACCAAUGCAAACCUAGAUUUGUUUUGUGCCAGCUGUUGACACAAUGGAUGAAACGGGAGAAAGCUUUUGAGCACCCAUAAACCAAUAUUUACCUGAGGGUAACAAGUUCAAGAUUAGUUUGAUGUCAGGUGUCCUUCCUUCAGGUCUAAACUGAGUGAAAACAACAUGCACUCCAUCAUCCCUGGAAUGAAUUGAGUUUUAGCGGGAGACUUUGUUGAAGGUUCUGUUGAACCUAUCAGAAUUUCCGCUUGCGCUCCAGUGGGAUUAAGGUCCUUAAGAGCGUGGUAGUUCUCUAGCAGCCAAUAAGCAAACAAACAAGAAAAUGAUUUCCAUACACACAGCUGCUGUGCCAUCCUUCCUUUCCUGGCUCGGUGCAAUAGUCACGCAUGUUCCUAACCACAAGCCCUCUGUAGGCAACAUCAAUCCACACGGCCAAUUGUUACUGUACACCUGCAUGUAACUUGUGAUCUUUUACCCACCUCCUACAGCACUUACAAACCAGAGCACUGUGGAAAAAGAUGUCACUUUGUAAAGCUGUGUGUAUGUGUUUCUGUGUGCAUAAGUGUGGGAACAAAUGAAAAUGUUUGUCUGUGCCUUGAUAACAUAUACAGAAGUACAUAAGAAUAUACACACACAGACACACAGAUACAGUGUCAGGGAUUUUAAAACAGCAGACACAAAAUGUGCAGAGGAGCACUGGAGCACGACACAAGAGAAGAUGAAAAAUCCAUUCAGCUAAGCGAACAAUCUCUCAUGUAAUGAUGCCUAGUUCUCCAUGUAUGUCAUGUCAGCCUAGCUGAGCCGGGAAAGUGAGCUGCUAUGUGACAUUCGACCAUUAAUUCAUUAUUUUCCCCCUCAAAAUAAAAAAACGAUGAACCUCAAUUCACUGAAGUAUAUUUAGCUGCAAAUAAGUGCUCCCCUGUGAGGUUUGAUGUUUAAGUCAUUGUCACUGUUUUGCAUGGAUAGGAAAGAGUUAAGUUUUAGAUAUAUUUUUACACCAUACUUUAUUUAAUUAUUGUAAUGAGCAAAUAAUGCUUCUACAGAUGAGGAUUAUGUUGUUCUGAUUUUCCCUUCUGGUUUCGGUUUGGGACUGAGAAGAUUGGACUUUCAAAAUAAGGACCACAACUAUUUUCCUUUGUUUCACCUGGAAUAAAAUGGCAUUUGUAAAAUACUGCACAAUUAUA
Molecule: long non-coding RNA, 1629 nt
Organism: Salvelinus fontinalis (brook trout)
Lineage: Eukaryota; Metazoa; Chordata; Actinopteri; Salmoniformes; Salmonidae
Exons: 2
Source: RefSeq, a predicted model, not a curated record